AUGUUUUUUACAUCGCAGGAAAUCAAUAUCAAACGGAGUCAAAAUGCCACGAAACUCCAUGAUGAUUUUUAUGGGCCAGAAGGAAGGCAUUGGGCCCUGGUUGCACCUGGGGGGUGCCCCGAGGGGGGCACAACCCACCAGGGCACGCCAGGAGGCUCUAUCUCUUUUCACAAGUACAAAUGGCCAUCAAAGAUUAGCAAAGCUAUACCAAAAAUAGGUUCACGUAAGAAAUUGCCUAUUAGUUUGCGUAGGAAUGCCCGUUUUAGUUUACGGAAGAGUGCACGUAGAAUAACAAAAGGGGUUAUUCAUGUGAAAGCCAGUUUCAACAAUACCGAAAUCAUAACAUUAACAUUUCUAUAUUCGAAUUUGAGAUAUAUAUACCGGACCUGA
This 390-nucleotide ribosomal RNA is filed under the name Triticum aestivum (bread wheat). RNAcentral describes it as "partial small subunit ribosomal RNA". Lineage: Eukaryota; Viridiplantae; Streptophyta; Magnoliopsida; Poales; Poaceae. The record is from RNAcentral.